ACGCCAUUAGUUAUCCGCCUGGGAGUACGGUCGCAGAGUUAAAUUCCAAGGAAUUGACGGGGCCCUGCACAAGCGGUGGAGCAUCUGGUUUAAUUCGAAGCUACGCGCAGAACCUUACCAGCGUUUGGCAUCCCGAUCGCGGAUUAGAGAGAUCUUUUCCUUCAGUUCGGCUGGAUCAGUGACAGGUGCUGCAUGGCUGUCGUCAGCUCGUGUCGUGAGAUGUUGGGUUAAGUCCCGCAACGAGCGCAACCCUCAUCCCUAGUUGCCAUCAUUCAGUUGGGCACUCUAAGGAAACUGCCGGUGAUAAGCCGGAGGAAGGUGGGGAUGACGUCAAGUCCUCAUGGCCCUUACGCGCUGGGCUACACACGUGCUACAAUGGCAACUACAGUGGGCAGCAACCUCGCGAGGGGUAGCUAAUCUCCAAAAGUUGUCUCAGUUCGGAUUGUUCUCUGCAACUCGAGAGCAUGAAGGCGGAAUCGCUAGUAAUCGCGGAUCAGCAUGCCGCGGUGUAUACGUUC
Molecule: ribosomal RNA, 518 nt
Filed under: uncultured Sphingopyxis sp.
Lineage: Bacteria; Pseudomonadati; Pseudomonadota; Alphaproteobacteria; Sphingomonadales; Sphingopyxidaceae
Description: bacterial SSU rRNA
Rfam family: Bacterial small subunit ribosomal RNA
Source: RNAcentral